UGAGGAAGAUAAUGACGGUACUCAACAAGGAAGUGACGGCUAACUACGUGCCAGCAGCCGCGGUAAAACGUAGGUCACAAGCGUUGUCCGGAAUUACUGGGUGUAAAGGGAGCGCAGGCGGGAAGACAAGUUGGAAGUGAAAUCUAUGGGCUCAACCCAUAAACUGCUUUCAAAACUGUUUUUCUUGAGUAGUGCAGAGGUAGGCGGAAUUCCCGGUGUAGCGGUGGAAUGCGUAGAUAUCGGGAGGAACACCAGUGGCGAAGGCGGCCUACUGGGCACCAACUGACGCUGAGGCUCGAAAGUGUGGGUAGCAAACAGGAUUAGAUACCCUGGUAGUCCACACCGUAAACGAUGAUUACUAGGUGUUGGAGGAUUGACCCCUUCAGUGCCGCAGUUAACACAAUAAGUAAUCCACCUGGGGAGUACGACCGCAAGGUUGAAACUCAAAGGAAUUGACGGGGGCCCGCACAAGCAGUGGAGUAUGUGGUUUAAUUCGACGCAACGCGAAGAACCUUACCAAGUCUUGACAUCCUGCGACGAUGCUGGAAACAGUAUUUUCCUUCGGGACGCAGAGACAGGUGGUGCAUGGUUGUCGUCAGCUCGUGUCGUGAGAUGUUGGGUUAAGUCCCGCAACGAGCGCAACCCUUAUGGUCAGUUACUACGCAAGAGGACUCUGGCCGGA
This 682-nucleotide ribosomal RNA is filed under the name Faecalibacterium prausnitzii. RNAcentral describes it as "bacterial SSU rRNA". It matches the Rfam family "Bacterial small subunit ribosomal RNA", at positions 440 to 1148 of the family's 1533-position model. Lineage: Bacteria; Bacillati; Bacillota; Clostridia; Eubacteriales; Oscillospiraceae. The record is from RNAcentral.